GAAUCUCUGUGUCGAUCUCCCUUCCCGUCGUUUCUUCUUCUAUACAUCUCCCCAUUCGUUUCGUAAUCAAGUGUUCCAUUGCCAUUAAAAGCCUUCUUAACUCCUUGGACCCACGGAAACCAUGGUUCCUCACUCAGUGCUCCUUAAAGGCGGUGGAAGUCCACCUAUAAAAAGGCGACACUGAUGUUCAGGCCUGCUCAUGCUAGCCACCGUCAAAGUCCACCGUCUCACCAGCUAUGUGAUUCGGUUCAAUGAUUCAACCACUUUGGAUGAGAUAACCGAGUCACCUAAUCAAGUUGAGUGCACUCCGCCAUAUCAGUUAGAUGUAAAGGCUUAAUCUUCAACCAUAUGGUGUUCAUCGUGAACGUUCAUUUUCGCCAAUGCAACCCAAGUAAAAUGGUCUGUGCAAGUGUGUUUAUUCCAGCAAUAUUCAUAUGGUUCUAGACCCCAGUGUUCGAGCAAAACAGCAAAUGAUUUCGUUCUAAGGCAUGAGGGAGAGAGCAAAACAAGAGGCUGGAACCAGAAAAGCAGAGGAAAAGAAGGACAAGCAUGUGUUUAAUGUGAAGCUGGAGAAGUUACAGCUGCAAAUCACUUGCGGUUUUACCAAAAGUUCUAACGGGCGUUUCGCUGUUUUUUUUUUUUGGGCACUUUGGUGAUCAAUGAAUCUCUAACAAAAAGUUAAUUUAAAAAUGCUCUGAAACACUGGUGGGAUUCUACAGAAUCGGCAUCGUACGUUUGUUUGUGAGAAAUGAAGGGCUUUACAAAGCUUAUGGAGGGUGGCUUUGAGAUAAGGUUGAAGAUGAUUUGUGGCUUACGUAGUAUAGCUUUCCACUAACCAUUUUAAAUUAUUUGCUUAUUUCCUUCACCUGUAGUAAAUCUGAAAGAGAACCAACAGAUUACAGAUGUUCCAUAUCUUUUAAAAUAUUAAGUUGUAACCUUGCAAGCC
Molecule: long non-coding RNA, 946 nt
Organism: Brassica oleracea var. oleracea
Lineage: Eukaryota; Viridiplantae; Streptophyta; Magnoliopsida; Brassicales; Brassicaceae
Exons: 3
Source: RefSeq, a predicted model, not a curated record